CUCAUUAAAUCAGUUAUCGUUUAUUUGAUAGUACCUUACUACUUGGAUAACCGUGGUAAUUCUAGAGCUAAUACAUGCUAAAAACCCCGACUUCGGGAGGGGUGUAUUUAUUAGAUAAAAAACCAAUGCCCUUCGGGGCUCUUUGGUGAUUCAUGAUAACUUAACGGAUCGCAUGGCCUUGCGCCGGCGACGGUUCAUUCAAAUUUCUGCCCUAUCAACUUUCGAUGGUAAGGUAUUGGCUUACCAUGGUUUCAACGGGUAACGGGGAAUUAGGGUUCGAUUCCGGAGAGGGAGCCUGAGAAACGGCUACCACAUCCAAGGAAGGCAGCAGGCGCGCAAAUUACCCAAUCCCGACUCGGGGAGGUAGUGACAAUAAAUACUGAUACAGGGCUCUUUUGGGUCUUGUAAUCGGAAUGAGUACAAUUUAAACCCCUUAACGAGGAACAAUUGGAGGGCAAGUCUGGUGCCAGCAGCCGCGGUAAUUCCAGCUCCAAUAGCGUAUAUUAAAGUUGUUGCAGUUAAAAAGCUCGUAGUUGAACCUUGGGCCUGGCUGGCCGGUCCGCCUCACCGCGUGUACUGGUCCGGCCGGGCCUUUCCUUCUGGAGAGCCGCAUGCCCUUCACUGGGUGUGUCGGGGAACCAGGACUUUUACUUUGAAAAAAUUAGAGUGUUCAAAGCAGGCCUUUGCUCGAAUACGUUAGCAUGGAAUAAUAGAAUAGGACGUGCGGUCCUAUUUUGUUGGUUUCUAGGACCGCCGUAAUGAUUAAUAGGGAUAGUCGGGGGCAUCAGUAUUCAAUUGUCAGAGGUGAAAUUCUUGGAUUUAUUGAAGACUAACUACUGCGAAAGCAUUUGCCAAGGAUGUUUUCAUUAAUCAGUGAACGAAAGUUAGGGGAUCGAAGACGAUCAGAUACCGUCGUAGUCUUAACCGUAAACUAUGCCGACUAGGGAUCGGGCGAUGUUUCUAUCUUGACUCGCUCGG
RNAcentral lists this ribosomal RNA (978 nucleotides) under Lophiotrema neohysterioides (nom. illeg.). RNAcentral's name for it is "SSU rRNA". It matches the Rfam family "Eukaryotic small subunit ribosomal RNA", at positions 97 to 1083 of the family's 1831-position model. Lineage: Eukaryota; Fungi; Ascomycota; Dothideomycetes; Pleosporales; Lophiotremataceae. The record is from RNAcentral.